Molecule: ribosomal RNA, 165 nt
Filed under: Acorus gramineus
Lineage: Eukaryota; Viridiplantae; Streptophyta; Magnoliopsida; Acorales; Acoraceae
Description: 5.8S ribosomal RNA
Rfam family: 5.8S ribosomal RNA
About the family: 5.8S ribosomal RNA (5.8S rRNA) is a component of the large subunit of the eukaryotic ribosome.
Source: RNAcentral
GAUGACUCUCGGCAACGGAUAUCUAGGCUCUCGCAUCGAUGAAAGAACGUAGCGAAAUGCGAUACUUUGGUGUGAAUUGCAGAAUCCCGUGAACCAUCGAGUCUUUGAACGCAAGUUGCGCCCGAGACCCAUCGGGUCGAGGGCACGCCUGCCUGGGCGUCACGC